Molecule: long non-coding RNA, 221 nt
Filed under: Homo sapiens (human)
Lineage: Eukaryota; Metazoa; Chordata; Mammalia; Primates; Hominidae
Description: HSALNT0344723
Source: RNAcentral
UUUUUUUUUUUGACAGAGUCUUGCUCUGUCGUCCAGGCUGGAGUGCAGUGGCGCGAUCUCGGCUCACUGCAAGCUCCGCCUUCCGGGUUCACGCCAUCCUCCUGCCUCAGCCUCCCGAGUAGCUGGGAUUACAGGCGCCCGCCACCACGCCCGGCUAAUUUUUUGUAUUUUUAGUAGAUACAGGGUUUCACCAUGUUAGCCAGGAUGGUCUCGAUCUCCUG